GACGACGCUGGCGGCGUGCCUAAUACAUGCAAGUCGAACGAGUGGCGGACGGGUGAGUAACACGUGGGAACCUACCCAUCAGAGGGGGAUAACUCUUGGAAACGGUUGCUAAUACCGCAUACCAUCGGCUUUGCCGAGAUGGGACUCGCUGGUAGGUGGGGUAAAGGCUCACCUAGGCGACGAUCGCCAGCAGGCCUGAGCGGGUGACUGGCCACAGUGGAACGUGGACACGGUCCCGACUCCUACGGGCGGCAGCAGUGGGGAAUAUUGCACAAUGGGCGCAAGCCUGAUGCAGCCAUGCCGCGGGGAUGAAGAAGUCCUUCGGGUUGUAAAGUACUUUCAGCGGGGAGGCGUUACCCGCAGAAGAAGCACCGGCUAACUCCGUGCCAGCAGCCGCGGUAAUUC
This 405-nucleotide ribosomal RNA is filed under the name uncultured bacterium. RNAcentral's name for it is "partial 16S ribosomal RNA". It matches the Rfam family "Bacterial small subunit ribosomal RNA", at positions 33 to 526 of the family's 1533-position model. The record is from RNAcentral.